CCUACGAGUGGCAGCAGUGAGGAAUAUUGGUCAAUGGACGGAAGUCUGAACCAGCCAUGCCGCGUGCAGGAAGACGGCUCUAUGAGUUGUAAACUGCUUUUGUACAAGGGUAAACCUGAAUACGUGUAUUUAGCUGAAAGUACUUUACGAAUAAGCAUCGGCUAACUCCGUGCCAGCAGCCGCGGUAAUACGGAGGAUUCAAGCGUUAUCCGGAUUUAUUGGGUUUAAUGGGUGCGUAGGCGGAUUGAUAAGUUAGAGGUGAAAUGUCCGAGCUUAACUCGGGAACUGCCUCUAAUCCUGUUGAUCUAGAGAGUAGGUGAGGUAGGCGGAAUGUAUGGUGUAGCGGUGAAAUGCUUAGAGAUCAUGCAGAACACCGAUUGCGAAGGCAGCUUACCAGUCUAUAUCUGACGUUGAGGCACGAAAGCGUGGGGAGCGAACAGGAUUAGAUACCCCAGUAGUC
Molecule: ribosomal RNA, 460 nt
Filed under: uncultured bacterium
Lineage: Bacteria
Description: partial 16S ribosomal RNA
Rfam family: Bacterial small subunit ribosomal RNA
Source: RNAcentral